RNAcentral lists this ribosomal RNA (1203 nucleotides) under Acinetobacter variabilis. RNAcentral's name for it is "bacterial SSU rRNA". It matches the Rfam family "Bacterial small subunit ribosomal RNA", at positions 173 to 1372 of the family's 1533-position model. Lineage: Bacteria; Pseudomonadati; Pseudomonadota; Gammaproteobacteria; Moraxellales; Moraxellaceae. The record is from RNAcentral.
UACGUCCUACGGGAGAAAGCAGGGGAUCUUCGGACCUUGCGCUAAUAGAUGAGCCUAAGUCGGAUUAGCUAGUUGGUGGGGUAAAGGCCUACCAAGGCGACGAUCUGUAGCGGGUCUGAGAGGAUGAUCCGCCACACUGGGACUGAGACACGGCCCAGACUCCUACGGGAGGCAGCAGUGGGGAAUAUUGGACAAUGGAGGCAACUCUGAUCCAGCCAUGCCGCGUGUGUGAAGAAGGCCUUUUGGUUGUAAAGCACUUUAAGCGAGGAGGAGGCUUACCUGGUUAAUACCCGGGAUAAGUGGACGUUACUCGCAGAAUAAGCACCGGCUAACUCUGUGCCAGCAGCCGCGGUAAUACAGAGGGUGCAAGCGUUAAUCGGAUUUACUGGGCGUAAAGCGCGCGUAGGUGGCUAAUUAAGUCAAAUGUGAAAUCCCCGAGCUUAACUUGGGAAUUGCAUUCGAUACUGGUUAGCUAGAGUAUGGGAGAGGAUGGUAGAAUUCCAGGUGUAGCGGUGAAAUGCGUAGAGAUCUGGAGGAAUACCGAUGGCGAAGGCAGCCAUCUGGCCUAAUACUGACACUGAGGUGCGAAAGCAUGGGGAGCAAACAGGAUUAGAUACCCUGGUAGUCCAUGCCGUAAACGAUGUCUACUAGCCGUUGGGGCCCUUGAGGCUUUAGUGGCGCAGCUAACGCGAUAAGUAGACCGCCUGGGGAGUACGGUCGCAAGACUAAAACUCAAAUGAAUUGACGGGGGCCCGCACAAGCGGUGGAGCAUGUGGUUUAAUUCGAUGCAACGCGAAGAACCUUACCUGGCCUUGACAUACAGAGAACUUUCCAGAGAUGGAUUGGUGCCUUCGGGAACUCUGAUACAGGUGCUGCAUGGCUGUCGUCAGCUCGUGUCGUGAGAUGUUGGGUUAAGUCCCGCAACGAGCGCAACCCUUUUCCUUAUUUGCCAGCACUUCGGGUGGGAACUUUAAGGAUACUGCCAGUGACAAACUGGAGGAAGGCGGGGACGACGUCAAGUCAUCAUGGCCCUUACGGCCAGGGCUACACACGUGCUACAAUGGUCGGUACAAAGGGUUGCUACUGCGCGAGCAGAUGCUAAUCUCAAAAAGCCGAUCGUAGUCCGGAUCGCAGUCUGCAACUCGACUGCGUGAAGUCGGAAUCGCUAGUAAUCGCGGAUCAGAAUGCCGCGGUGAAUACGUU